RNAcentral lists this ribosomal RNA (259 nucleotides) under uncultured bacterium. RNAcentral's name for it is "partial 16S ribosomal RNA". It matches the Rfam family "Bacterial small subunit ribosomal RNA", at positions 96 to 353 of the family's 1533-position model. The record is from RNAcentral.
UGGCGGACGGGUGAGUAACGCGUGGGUAACCUGCCUUAUACUGGGGGAUAACAGCCAGAAAUGACUGCUAAUACCGCAUAAGCGCACAGAACCGCAUGGUUCGGUGUGAAAAACUCCGGUGGUAUAAGAUGGACCCGCGUUGGAUUAGCUAGUUGGUAGGGCAGCGGCCUACCAAGGCGACGAUCCAUAGCCGGCCUGAGAGGGUGAACGGCCACAUUGGGACUGAGACACGGCCCAGACUCCUACGGGAGGCAGCAUG